Molecule: ribosomal RNA, 203 nt
Filed under: uncultured bacterium
Lineage: Bacteria
Description: partial 16S ribosomal RNA
Rfam family: Bacterial small subunit ribosomal RNA
Source: RNAcentral
ACGCUCGACACCUACGGGAGGCGGCAGUGGGGAAUAUUGCACAAUGGGGGAAACCCUGAUGCAGCGACGCCGCGUGGAGGAAGAAGGUCUUCGGAUUGUAAACUCCUGUUGUUGGGGAAAAAGAGGAUGGUACCCAACAAGGAAGUGACGGCUAACUACGUGCAGCAGCCGCGGUAAUCUGAGGCGGGCGUGGGACGAAAGGC